Long non-coding RNA from Gossypium raimondii (Peruvian cotton), 813 nucleotides. RefSeq lists it as uncharacterized. NCBI's taxonomy places the organism in Eukaryota, Viridiplantae, Streptophyta, Magnoliopsida, Malvales, Malvaceae. The transcript has 3 exons. The record is from RefSeq and is a predicted model, not a curated record.
UCUGUAUCCUGAUGCUACUUUAUUGAUGGUGGAUUUGUAAAUUUAAGUGUUUAAAUGUUGUAAAUUGAAGUGUUUAAGUGCUGCAAAUUGAAGUAUUUAGUUGCUGGAAAUUGAGAUGUUUUAUCGCUGUAAUUGAGGUGUAUAAAUGUUGUUAAUUGAUAUGUUUAAGUGCUGCAAAUUGAAGUGUUUAAGUGCUGCAAAUUGAAGUGUUUAAGUGCUGCAAAUUGAAGUGUUUAGUUGUUGGAAAUUGAGAUGUUUUAUCGCUGUAAUUGAGGUGUAUAAAUGUUGUUAAUUGAUAUGUUAAAGUGCUGCAAAUUGAAGUGUUUAAAUGCUGUAAAUUGAAGUGUUAAAGUGCUACUUUCCAUUGUCACCUCCCCCAUUUCUUUAUGCAUCAAUAACUAUAUUAAUGAAAUCAAGUACUACAAUUAUAUAUUAUUACAGAUGGGGGUUGGAGAAUACGAUCAAAGGGAAAACAUCAGAUAUGGUGAUUCCCAGCCAAGAAGUGGCUUUUUAGACACCCAACAUUUUGCACAACCAAACAUGACCAGAACUUCUAAACCUACAUGUUGAGGAUUCACACUCAAGGAGCAAGAAACAUCUCAGCAACUCAUUGGGAUCGAGUAGUCAAAAUUCAGAAUCAAGUAACACACAAGAGCUAGAUUUGGAGCUUAGACUGUCACUGUAAUCAGUAAUUUUUUUUGCUACUUUAAAUGCAUGCUCAUGGAACUACAUUUUAUGCUUUCCUAGAAUUGCAAGUUCAAAUAAGGUGUUGAUCUGCAAUUUAUACAUACAACUUGAGCAAGUUGAUAUGAA